UGCGCAGGCGGAAUGAUUAGUCAGUGGUGAAAGCCCUCGGCUCAACCGAGGAACUGCCAUUGAUACUGUCAUUCUUGAGUACAGUUGUAGUGGGCGGAAUGUGUCAUGUAGCGGUGAAAUGCAUAGAGAUGACACAGAACACCGAUCGCGAAGGCAGCUCACUAAGCUGAAACUGACGCUCAGGCGCGAAAGCGUGGGUAGCAAACAGGAUUAGAUACCCUGGUAGUCC
RNAcentral lists this ribosomal RNA (229 nucleotides) under uncultured bacterium. RNAcentral's name for it is "partial 16S ribosomal RNA". It matches the Rfam family "Bacterial small subunit ribosomal RNA", at positions 568 to 796 of the family's 1533-position model. The record is from RNAcentral.